AAAUUGAAGAGUUUGAUCAUGGCUCAGAUUGAACGCUGGCGGCAGGCCUAACACAUGCAAGUCGAACGGUAACAGAAAGCAGCUUGCUGCUUUGCUGACGAGUGGCGGACGGGUGAGUAAUGUCUGGGAAACUGCCCGAUGGAGGGGGAUAACUACUGGAAACGGUAGCUAAUACCGCAUAACGUCGCAAGACCAAAGAGGGGGACCUUAGGGCCUCUUGCCAUCGGAUGUGCCCAGAUGGGAUUAGCUAGUAGGUGGGGUAACGGCUCACCUAGGCGACGAUCCCUAGCUGGUC
RNAcentral lists this ribosomal RNA (295 nucleotides) under Escherichia coli. RNAcentral's name for it is "partial 16S ribosomal RNA". It matches the Rfam family "Bacterial small subunit ribosomal RNA", at positions 1 to 292 of the family's 1533-position model. Lineage: Bacteria; Pseudomonadati; Pseudomonadota; Gammaproteobacteria; Enterobacterales; Enterobacteriaceae. The record is from RNAcentral.